RNAcentral lists this ribosomal RNA (253 nucleotides) under uncultured bacterium. RNAcentral's name for it is "partial 16S ribosomal RNA". It matches the Rfam family "Bacterial small subunit ribosomal RNA", at positions 524 to 776 of the family's 1533-position model. The record is from RNAcentral.
CACGUAGGGGGCAAGCGUUGUCCGGAUUUAUUGGGCGUAAAGCGCUCGCAGGUGGUCCGUCGCGUCGUGCGUGAAAGACCCCGGCUCAACUGGGGGAUGUCGUGCGAUACGGGCGGACUGGAGGCCAGUAGGGGGAUGCGGAAUUCCGGGUGUAGUGGUGGAAUGCGUAGAGAUCCGGAGGAACACCAGCGGCGAAGGCGGCAUCCUGGACUGGUCCUGACACUCGGGAGCGAAAGCGUGGGGAGCGAACCGG